AAAGCGUGCGCAGGCGGUUAUACAAGACAGGCGUGAAAUCCCCGGGCUUAACCUGGGAAUGGCGUCUGUGACUGUAUGACUAGAGUGUGUCAGAGGGGGGUAGAAUUCCACGUGUAGCAGUGAAAUGCGUAGAUAUGUGGAGGAAUACCAAUGGCGAAGGCAGCCCCCUGGGAUAACACUGACGCUCAUGCACGAAAGCGUGGGGAGCAAACAGGAUUAGAUACCCCAGU
This 230-nucleotide ribosomal RNA is filed under the name uncultured bacterium. Its description in RNAcentral is "partial 16S ribosomal RNA". It matches the Rfam family "Bacterial small subunit ribosomal RNA", at positions 562 to 791 of the family's 1533-position model. The record is from RNAcentral.